CACCAGCGCCUCGAGUGGGGAUCACGAUUAUUGGGUCUAAAGCGUCCGUAGCAGGCUUUGUAAAUGCUUUGUGAAAUCGGCAGGCAUAACCUGUCGGCGCGCAGAGUAGACUGCAGAGCUCGAGACCGGGAGAGGUUAGCAGUAUUCCUAGGGUACCGGUAAAAUGGGUUAAUCCUAGGAGGACUACCAAUGGCGAAGGCAGCUAACCAGAACGGUUCUGACUGUGAGGGACGAAAGCUAGGGGAGCAAAACG
This 253-nucleotide ribosomal RNA is filed under the name uncultured archaeon. Its description in RNAcentral is "partial 16S ribosomal RNA". It matches the Rfam family "Archaeal small subunit ribosomal RNA", at positions 474 to 726 of the family's 1478-position model. The record is from RNAcentral.